CCCAGACUCCUACGGGAGGCAGCAGUGGGGAAUCUUGCGCAAUGGGCGAAAGCCUGACGCAGCGACGCCGCGUGGGUGACGAAGGCCUUCGGGUCGUAAAACCCUGUUGCAGGGGACGAAGGAAGUGACGGUACCCUGCCAGAAAGCCCCGGCUAACUACGUGCCAGCAGCCGCGGUAAAACGUAGGGGGCGAGCGUUGUCCGGAAUUACUGGGCGUAAAGGGCUCGUAGGCGGUAACUCAAGUCAGUUGUGAAAACCGACGGCUUAACCGGAGGAUUGCAGUUGAUACUGGGUUACUUGAGGCAAGGAGAGGAAGGUGGAAUUCCCGGUGUAGCGGUGAUAUGCGUAGAUAUCGGGAGGAACCCCAGUGGCGAAGGCGGCCUUCUGGUCUUGACCUGACGCUGAGGAGCGAAAGCCAGGGUAGCGAACGGGAUUAGAUACCCCGGUAGUCCUGGCUGUAAACGAUGGACACUAGGUGUAGGUGGUAUCAACCCC
This 495-nucleotide ribosomal RNA is filed under the name uncultured bacterium. RNAcentral describes it as "bacterial SSU rRNA". It matches the Rfam family "Bacterial small subunit ribosomal RNA", at positions 330 to 839 of the family's 1533-position model. The record is from RNAcentral.